GCAAUGCCCAGAGAGGCUGAUGGGAACAGUGGCAAGCUCUGCCUUUGCUUACGUCAAAUGAAAGAAAGAGCCGUUAGUCCGUCUAGAACGAAACCGCACUCCCUGGCUUGAACAUGGUCGCAUGCGGUUGGACACAUGGAGGAGAGAAUCAUUUUCGCAGUAUCCUCAAAACCGUGUCUUUUUGACACAACUGCUGACAGCUACAGGGAUAUAAACACAAAAAAUGCUGCUUGGAGACAAGUGUCCACGAUAGUAGGAUUGCCAGGACUUUGAAGGGCCCACACACUGCGGCCCCAGCUUCCGGCAGGGCAAGCAGAGGGGCAGGUUCCGGGUCGAGAGCCAGACCCUGUCCCCCGGUACGAACAUGGGGGCCUCACUGCGGUGGCGGUCAGCACUCCUCUUCUGCCGUCCACUGUCUUGCUUCAGAGAUUCCUGGACGGCUCUCCAGGUCUCCUUG
RNAcentral lists this long non-coding RNA (457 nucleotides) under Salmo salar (Atlantic salmon). RNAcentral's name for it is "lncRNA (ENSSSAG00000088637.1)". Lineage: Eukaryota; Metazoa; Chordata; Actinopteri; Salmoniformes; Salmonidae. The record is from RNAcentral.